UCCCUGGUGGUCCAGUGGCUAAGACUCCACAUUCCCAAUGCAGGGGGCCUGGGUUCAAUUCCUGGUUAGGGAA
RNAcentral lists this transfer RNA (73 nucleotides) under Bos taurus (domestic cattle). It matches the Rfam family "tRNA". From Rfam's summary of the family: Transfer RNA (tRNA) molecules are approximately 80 nucleotides in length. Their secondary structure includes four short double-helical elements and three loops (D, anti-codon, and T loops). The record is from Rfam by way of RNAcentral. RNAcentral also lists the same sequence under 3 other names. Lineage: Eukaryota; Metazoa; Chordata; Mammalia; Artiodactyla; Bovidae.